Molecule: non-coding RNA, 128 nt
Organism: Podarcis lilfordi (Lilford's wall lizard)
Lineage: Eukaryota; Metazoa; Chordata; Lepidosauria; Squamata; Lacertidae
Source: the annotation of a GenBank genome assembly
AACUAAGUUUGUUAUUGGUAUGAGCUUUCGUGUGCAUGCACACUUCUUCAGAUAUCUGAAGAAGAUAUCAGGUAUCUGAAGAAGUGUGCAUGCACACGAAAGCUCAUACCAAUAACAAACUUAGUUGG